CGGAUGAGCCUAUGUCGGAUUAGCUUGUUGGUGAGGUAAUGGCUCACCAAGGCGACGAUCCGUAGCUGGUGUGAGAGGAUGAUCAGCCACAUCGGGACUGAGACACGGCCCGAACUCCUACGGGAGGCAGCAGUGGGGAAUAUUGGACAAUGGGCGAAAGCCUGAUCCAGCCAUGCCGCGUGUGUGAAGAAGGCUUUCGGGUUGUAAAGCACUUUCAGUGAGGAAGAAUGCCGUCGGGUUAAUACCCCGGCGGAAAGACAUCACUCACAGAAGAAGCACCGGCUAACUCCGUGCCAGCAGCCGCGGUAAUACGGAGGGUGCAAGCGUUAAUCGGAAUUACUGGGCGUAAAGCGCGCGUAGGUGGCUUGAUCAGCCGGUUGUGAAAGCCCCGGGCUCAACCUGGGAACAGCAUCCGGAACUGUCAGGCUAGAGUGCAGGAGAGGAAGGUAGAAUUCCCGGUGUAGCGGUGAAAUGCGUAGAGAUCGGGAGGAAUACCAGUGGCGAAGGCGGCCUUCUGGACUGACACUGACGCUGAGGUGCGAAAGCGUGGGUAGCAAACAGGAUUAGAUACCCUGGUAGUCCACGCCGUAAACGAUGUCGACCAGCCGUUGGGU
RNAcentral lists this ribosomal RNA (614 nucleotides) under Cobetia marina. RNAcentral's name for it is "bacterial SSU rRNA". It matches the Rfam family "Bacterial small subunit ribosomal RNA", at positions 222 to 828 of the family's 1533-position model. The record is from RNAcentral. Lineage: Bacteria; Pseudomonadati; Pseudomonadota; Gammaproteobacteria; Oceanospirillales; Halomonadaceae.